ACAAAGUGAGGCUAAACUGUUCUGUGUUGUGUUGUAGCUCCCGACAGCUGGUACAACUACACUAUUGAUGGCGUAGUAUUUUAUUUAAUACAAUCUGAAUAAACCCUGAACAAACUAAAAUUAAAAAUGUGACUUUAGCUUUUAAUUAUAUAAUAUAUACAGCUUUCGACUUUCAUUUACAGCCAUACAUCUCAAAACUGUAAGAAUUGUUUAUUAAUUAACAAUAUUUAAUUAAUUCACUAAUUGGUUAAUGUUUGGGUUGAUUUAUGUUUUUGUACCAGACUGACAGACAGACAGACUUUUUUCAUAAAAACGUUGUAAUAGCGUUAAGUCCAAGUAAAGGUUGAAUUUGUAACAGAUUUCAUUGCGCUACUGUAUGUAGCUCGACAUAGACAGCACAGAGUAGUCUAUUCUGAAUAGACAAUAAGACCGCUACAAUUAGGCUCUAGAAAAUACUCAGAAUGAUAAUACAGGUGGCCACAUAUUAUGUAUUUUACAAUUGUUAAAUAUACUUUUAAUUUUAUAAUUUAAUUUUCUCUAGGUAUAUUUGAUUAUGUAAUCAUACCAGGCCUCUUAUAUCUUAACCACUCUGUAUAAACUUCUAGACACGAAUAAUACGGAGAUCUGUGGACAAACAACACAAACUAAUCUAAACAAUUAGCUCUAACUGAUUUGCAGGAAACUCACAGAUUUUAGUGGUACAAUUUGUUUUUUUUUAAUAAAUAAGUUUUAAUGUCAGAUGUAGGUGGGGAGUGACAUUUGGCUGUUGGACAAAAUGUUUUGGUUGACACGUUAAUUUAAAAAAUCGACAACUAAUUUGUAACUCCGGAUAUUUUCAUGUGUUCUUCUUUCUCACAGAAAAGCAAGCUAUAUUUAGUGUAUUUUGUUUAUAUAUAUAUAUAUAUUUAAUGAUGAUGACAUAAAAUACAGAUUUUCCCGUUUUUAACUAUCAGGAAGAAUUCACAAGAUACUCUUUAUAAUUUAGAACUUGAAUGCAAGGAUAGAUCUGCAUUUGAAUUUUGUUAUUCAAAUUUUUAUUAGCUGCAAUGACAUUAAAAUAAUAACUACUUAGGAUUUCAUUAAUACUCCUUACUUCAUAGUUAGUGUAUAAAAGUGAAACAAAAUGUGUUAGACCGUGUUGCUCAAAAUGGAGAUUUUAAGUGACAGUUUUAUUCGAGCUAAGAGUGACCCAAACUUUAACGUUGGACUUUACAGUAACAAUGUUCAAAUAAAACAGUUCAAAAGAGUCACAAGAGAUCCACAUAUUGACAAACUGGUUAAUACCAGCCAAUACGACAGCCCCGAAGGACACUCUUAGCAGAAUAAAGUUACUAAAUAAAGAUUUUGAAAGAGAAGAAGAAACAUGUGCUUUCAAAAUUUUCUUACUAAAAUCAAGAUGUUUCUUCUGACCCGCCCAGGCGAGAAUAGAAACAAACGAAUGUUCCAAAAAAUACACACAAAAAGAGACGAUAUGACAUACAAUCAUUACAGAAUGAUUGAUCUUAUCAUGGAAAAACAUCUUAAACAUUAAUAGAACUUGUACUUCUACAGUUAACAUUUAAAGUUUAAAAGGAAUAGACUUGUAUUGUACAGAAAUACAAAUAUUAACUUUAAUAACUAAACAUUUUUCUGAGAGUCAGUUGUAUGGAGAAUAGCAUUGAAAGACUCACUGGUAGUGUAGUUGCGAUUCAAUCCUCUCAUCAUGGUCAACCUGACGAAUGUGUGCCAUCAGGAUUCAAGUAUUUAGAAGGUGGUGUGGUGGGUGUAAGCAAAGAGAUUUUAUCAUCUGUUGCUGUAAAUAGCCUGCCCUUAAGUAGCGUGCCUGUAGCAUCAGGCCCUGUUAGUAGAGAGACCAUAAGUCUAGGUAAAAGAGUGACCUCAUGUGAUCUGCCUGUAGCAGAAAGUGUAGGUUCAAGUGCUGUGGUUGAAGCUUUAAGUGUUGGAAGUGGAAUAUCUGUAGGAAGUGACCGUCACAUUACAGAUAGUCAAACUAAUAUACCUCAGAAUGAGAACUAUAGUGACGGAGCUUGUGGUGGUUUAACAAACAACUUUCGCUUAUCUGAAAGGAAAGAUAUUGGUAGCGCAAACAUUGAAACUGUUACAUCCAAUGCUUCUGCUCUGACUAUAAUUGAUAAUGCAAGACCAAAGAGAACAGAGAUGGCUUCAAAAAUUAAAAGGUUGAAAUCUUUUACUAGUAAGAAUAAUAUAUAUCAAAGGAAAGAGGAUCUUUCAUUGGCUGGAUUCUAUUAUAUAGGUUAUGGCGACUGCGUGCGGUGCUUCAAUUGUGGCGGUGGACUCCAUGAUUGGAAAGAGGAUGAUGACGUUUGGGUUGAGCAUUCCAAGUGGUUUCCAGAGUGUACAUAUGUCAUUGAACAAAUGGGGGAACUUUUCGUUCAGACUGUCCAACAGCUUAAAGCUCUACAGGAAAAGGUUACUUUUACUGAUGUUGACAUUGUCUUGGAAGUUAAAACAAAAUUUAAGCUUCCAGAGGAAGGGAGACCGUUGUAAAUAACAGCGACACAAGUCAAAGAAGCAAACAUUGAAGAAAAUGAAGACCACUCAGUAUUAUUAGGAGGAAACACAAGCGAAAAAAACAACACUAUUUCAUGAUGGCAUGUAGGCUCAUGUUAAGAAGAGUGGAGAACAAUUUGAGCCCUUGCAGUAUCAAAUGGGGUAAAACACUGUUCAGUAUCAUGUUCUCCAUUUUAUGUUGACAGGAUGCAUCCUAAGGUAGACUGUCUAAAAAUGUUUGGAAUAGAAGAGGUAUCACCACAAGCACAAAACUAUGGGUCUAUCGAGCUGUCUUCCUCCCUACAUUGAUUUAUGCCUCAGAAAUAUGGACAGUAUACAGAAGACAUGAAAAAAACUGAAACCACUUUCACAUGAUAUGUCUCAUAAAAAUACUGAUGAUAAUUGGCAAGAAAUAAUACUUGAGUCUUUUGAAGAGUGGGGCUGCAAAGCAUCCUCACAAUCUUGAUGAAGGUUUAGCUGUGGUGGGUAGGCCAUAUCUGCAGUAUGGAAGACUCUAACUGUUCAACUCCUUUAUGGUUAAGUAAAGAAAGGAAGCGCUAGCAAGGUGGACAGAAAAAGCUUCAGCUACACCCUUAAAGCAUUUAUGAAUGCCUUCAGCAUUGACCCAGCCACCUGGGAGUCAGAAGGACAUGAUAGAGCAUCAUGGCAUUGCGCCAGGAAAACUGGCACACAAAUUGCAGAGGACAAGAGAACAGCGUUGGCAGAAAAAAAGCAUCAGAGAAAAAGGUCAAUGACACUAGCUCCAGCUGGAAUAACCUGCCCAGUCUGCAGCUGAACAUUCUGGGCUCACAUAGAUCUCACCAGCCACAUGAGGAGACAUAAAACCCCUGUGCAAUGCCCUCUACUCUGUGAAACCACAAUAUAUGCUGCCCAAUGAAAUUAUGAUUCACUAAUGAAUAAAAUGAACUGACAUCAUCACUGAAUUUUUUGUGUGAAAUAAUCUUCCUAACCAAAAUGCAUAAUGAAAUAUCAUGAAAAUUACUCAUUAGGCUACAACAGUGUGGAUAUAUUAUAUAUAUAUAUGUAUAUAUAUAAAUAUAUUUUUUUGUUUAAUCCAGAAGGAUUAAACGUGUCUAAUUGUGAAAUUCUUAUUUUUCAUUAGUUUUGCUGGUAGAGUACUGCACAAAAAACUUACUUUUGCAUCUGAAAAAAAUCCAUAAUUAUUUAUAUUAUUUACUAGAACUACUUAACAAAAAGUAAAACAAAGAUACUUAAAUCAGAACGGCCAUCACCCUUGUAUGAGUUCUUUUGCAGUAGAAAUAGUCAUAAAUGAGACUUUUGACAAGUGUCAAAGACGACAAAAGGAAACUCACUAUACAAUAUAUAACUUACAAGCACAAAUUGAUUGUAUUUUAAUAUUAACUUUUAUUCUAAUUUUAAUUAAUAUAUAAGUAAGUGGGCAAAACCUGACCAGAGUAUAUAUAUAUAUAUGUGUGUGUGCUAGAUUUAUUUAUUAUUUUCAAAAAUUAUACUACAAAAACUAUUAACAAAAACCAUAUGGAACAUUUAAGAGUGUUAACUUUUAAAUCUUCAUUUUUUAUUUAUUAAGGAAUCAUUCUUUUCUAUUUUUAUUACCGGGUACUAAAUUUCUUUAUUGAUGAAAAACUAGAAUGAGCUACCUGUGAAUCUGUGAAUAUUAUAACCAGUACACAGAUUCAUUAUGUGUGAGCAAUGCAGAAAAACAAAUGAUUUUUUAGUUGAAAAAGCUCUUCACUUUAACUGAAUGAAAUUAAUCCUUUCUUAAUUUAAAAUGAAAUUUACUUUGAAAUACCAUAGAUGGACUAACUACAGAAAUGCAAACAUUCAUUUUUUUUAUACAGAAACAAUUGUAAUUAAUUUUUUAAUACCUGGCUU
Biomphalaria glabrata is the source of this 4386-nucleotide RNA transcript. It is a transcript of the gene named E3 ubiquitin-protein ligase XIAP-like, with no coding region annotated. NCBI's taxonomy places the organism in Eukaryota, Metazoa, Mollusca, Gastropoda, Planorbidae. The record is from RefSeq and is a predicted model, not a curated record. The transcript is spliced from 6 exons.